AUACGAAAGGUGCAAGCGUUGUGCGGAUUUACUGGGCGUAAAGAGAGUGUAGGUGGUUUAUUAAGUCGGAUGUGAAAUCCCGGGGCUCAACCUCGGAACUGCAUUCGAUACUGAUAGGCUAGAGUUUGGGAGGGGUAAGCGGAAUUCCGUGUGUAGCAGUGAAAUGCGUAGAUAUACGGAGGAACACCUGAGGCGAAGGCGGCUUACUGGACCAAUACUGACACUGAGACUCGAAAGCGUGGGUAGCAAACGGGAUUAGAAACCCUAGUAGUCC
Molecule: ribosomal RNA, 274 nt
Filed under: uncultured bacterium
Lineage: Bacteria
Description: partial 16S ribosomal RNA
Rfam family: Bacterial small subunit ribosomal RNA
Source: RNAcentral